GCGGGGGUCGCGUAGCCAGGUCAAUCGCGUAGGCCUGAGGCGCCUAUGGCUUAGUGCCUCCGUGGGUUCAAAUCCCACCCCCCGCA
The sequence is a transfer RNA, 86 nucleotides long. It matches the Rfam family "tRNA". From Rfam's summary of the family: Transfer RNA (tRNA) molecules are approximately 80 nucleotides in length.